RNAcentral lists this ribosomal RNA (812 nucleotides) under uncultured marine microorganism. RNAcentral's name for it is "bacterial SSU rRNA". It matches the Rfam family "Bacterial small subunit ribosomal RNA", at positions 8 to 831 of the family's 1533-position model. The record is from RNAcentral.
AGAGUUUGAUCCUGGCUCAGAACGAACGCUGGCGGCGUGCCUAACACAUGCAAGUCGAACGAGAAAGCCUUCGGGCAAGUAAAGUGGCGCACGGGUGAGUAACGCGUGGGUAAUCUGCCCUUCAGUCUGGGAUAACAACUCUAACGAGCUGCUAAUACCGGAUACGACAUCAACCUCUGCGGGGGAUGAUGGGAAAGAAUUUCGCUGAAGGAUGAGCCCGCGUAUCAUUAGGUAGUUGGUGGGGUAAUGGCCUACCAAGCCCGAGAUGAUUAGCUGGUCUGAGAGGACGAUCAGCCACACUGGGACUGAGACACGGCCCAGACUCCUACGGGAGGCAGCAGUGGGGAAUAUUGCGCAAUGGGCGGAAGCCUGACGCAGCAACGCCGCGUGAGUGAAGAAGGUCUUCGGAUUGUAAAGCUCUGUUAAGAUAGGAAGAAUAGCCUUCGGGUUCGACGGUACUAUCUCAGGAAGCACCGGCUAACUCCGUGCCAGCAGCCGCGGUAAUACGGAGGGUGCAAGCGUUGUUCGGAAUUAUUGGGCGUAAAGCGUGCGUAGGCGGAUUGUUAAGUCUGGUGUGAAAUCCCUCGGCUCAACCGAGGACGUGCAUUGGAUACUGGCAGUCUUGAGUCCUGGAGAGGAGAGCGGAAUUCCUAGUGUAGAGGUGAAAUUCGUAGAUAUUAGGAGGAACACCAGCGGCGAAAGCGGCUCUCUGGACAGUGACUGACGCUGAGGCACGAAAGCAUAGGUAGCAAACAGGAUUAGAUACACUGGUAGUCUAUGCCGUAAACGAUGGGUACUAGUCGGUGCGGGUA